UGCAAGUCGAACGGUGAAAGCGGAGCUUGCUCUGCUGGAUCAGUGGCGAACGGGUGAGUAACACGUGAGCAACCUGCCCCGGACUCUGGGAUAACAGUUGGAAACAGCUGCUAAUACCGGAUACGAGCUGCGAAGGCAUCUUCAGCAGCUGGAAAGAAUUUCGGUCUGGGAUGGGCUCACGGCCUAUCAGCUAGUUGGUGAGGUAACGGCUCACCAAGGCGUCGACGGGUAGCCGGCCUGAGAGGGUGACCGGCCACACUGGGACUGAGACACGGCCCAGACUCCUACGGGAGGCAGCAGUGGGGAAUAUUGCACAAUGGGCGCAAGCCUGAUGCAGCAACGCCGCGUGAGGGACGACGGCCUUCGGGUUGUAAACCUCUUUUAGCAGGGAAGAAGCGAAAGUGACGGUACCUGCAGAAAAAGCACCGGCUAACUACGUGCCAGCAGCCGCGGUAAUACGUAGGGUGCAAGCGUUAUCCGGAAUUAUUGGGCGUAAAGAGCUCGUAGGCGGUUUGUCGCGUCUGCUGUGAAAACCCGAGGCUCAACCUCGGGCCUGCAGUGGGUACGGGCAGACUAGAGUGCGGUAGGGGAGAUUGGAAUUCCUGGUGUAGCGGUGGAAUGCGCAGAUAUCAGGAGGAACACCGAUGGCGAAGGCAGAUCUCUGGGCCGUAACUGACGCUGAGGAGCGAAAGGGUGGGGAGCAAACAGGCUUAGAUACCCUGGUAGUCCACCCCGUAAACGUUGGGAACUAGUUGUGGGGUCCAUUCCACGGAUUCCGUGACGCAGCUAACGCAUUAAGUUCCCCGCCUGGGGAGUACGGCCGCAAGGCUAAAACUCAAAGGAAUUGACGGGGACCCGCACAAGCGGCGGAGCAUGCGGAUUAAUUCGAUGCAACGCGAAGAACCUUACCAAGGCUUGACAUAUACGAGAACGGGCCAGAAAUGGUCAACUCUUUGGACACUCGUAAACAGGUGGUGCAUGGUUGUCGUCAGCUCGUGUCGUGAGAUGUUGGGUUAAGUCCCGCAACGAGCGCAACCCUCGUUCUAUGUUGCCAGCACGUAAUGGUGGGAACUCAUGG
This 1078-nucleotide ribosomal RNA is filed under the name Microbacterium sp. Its description in RNAcentral is "bacterial SSU rRNA". It matches the Rfam family "Bacterial small subunit ribosomal RNA", at positions 56 to 1144 of the family's 1533-position model. Lineage: Bacteria; Bacillati; Actinomycetota; Actinomycetes; Micrococcales; Microbacteriaceae. The record is from RNAcentral.